CUUUCUUAGUCCCAUAAGUGGACGCAGACGCUUGCGGUAGCCGAAAGGUAUUAAACAAGUGAAAGUGGAAAAUCGUGCGAGAGCUGCUUUUUGUGCACAGGUCGAUUGACUGUAGAUUCCUUGACCAGAUAUACCGUUUGCAUGGGGGGGCCCUGUUAAUCCGACAACUCGUAGCUUGGAUGUAACUGACGGCGACUGCCAUAUCGGGUGACUGGAUACACAGCUGCCUGAUGUUGGAGACGUAGAUCAUAUUUAUGAAGUUAAUCAAGACAUUCGGUUUUCUUCCGUAGUCGCGAGACCUGCUGUUGUUCCCCGAGAAGCCCUCACGGUGUCCGUUACUUCAUGCCUCGUACAAGCUAUCCUCCUUGUGAAACGUAUGUUGAUCCUGUGUUCUUCACCGUCAGUUCGCAAAGGAAGAGGGGCCUUGAAGAUUCCCGCACCUGAUCGGCGACUAUGAAGGUAGAUUUUUUUAUCCACUGACGACGGUGUUACGCCAAGUUUCUCUAUUCCGUAGCCGCUUGUUAGAAAAAUAACGCAUUCACCGACAUGGUUCGGGGUCGAGCGCGGACGCACACCUGACAUACUAGCAGGGCUGGCGUAUUGCGACCUUUUUUGUGUGAUGAACGUGCGCUAUAGUGGGGAUAGGUGAUGGCGGUGUCCCUUACUUCAUGUUGCUAGGAAGCCGUUUACACGGAAAUCCCUGUGCUCAGUUGUGCAAUCUUGCCGGAAGUGACUUGACCGUUGUCACAAACAGCUCAGCUGUGAGAAGCUCUCUUGAUUUUAAGUGGUCCAGUUGUGCAAAACGUGACAUCUACCCACAAGUUCCUCUUUUUUCGUAGGGCACACACCGAAGGAGGCAAGCAUUUUUCGGGGUGUACCCACAGCAGCUGCAACGAUGCCGGCGCGGAGCGGAAAGGCGAAAACUCUACACGUCGUCCCACUACUAAAUUCGUGAAGACGAAGAAAAGCUUCAUUUGAAAGCGCGAGACUGAAGUUCGUCUUCGUGCGGAAUGAUGAGCUGUUCUUUUGUCCGGCUCUGUAAGAAUAAUCUGAAGGCUGCAAAUGAAACGAGGAGACCUUGAGACGACGGCGUGGAGAGUGAAGGACGACACUUUGUGUUCGACUCACUGCGGUGUUUCUAUCACCCGUGCCGCCAAACUGUAAGAAACACCGCGUGAGGUAGGAUGAACAGAGGUGGAAACGUGUGAACUGCUUUCACACAAAUUCCGUGAGGCCGUUCACAAAGUUGCGGAUGUACCACUUCGGUAGUCGUCCGUGCCACGAAAGCGUCGUAGUGAGCUUCUUCUACCGCUUCCCCAGCGUAGCUACUACGAAAGACUCAUCAUGCGCUCUCCCGUGUCAUCAGCCCCAACGUUACUGCAGAGCAGCAUUUGUAUCCUUUCAAAACGGUUACACUGAUUGCAAUGUUUUCUGCAUCAUUUUCAGCCACAAAAGAUGAAUAACGCAUUUGUAAUUAUUACGACAACCCGCGAAAGCGGGUCUCUGAGCCUCAUUAUCACAAGGUAGUCGUCUGUGCGUGUGCUUCGAAUGCGCGUGAACUAUAUCGUCAGCCGAAGAGCCGUGGCUUCGAGUAGCAUCAUUUGAGUGAUUUUCUUCGGAGAACAUUACUACAUGACUCUUACAUAUCCAUGACGCAAAGCAGGUGUUGCUCGCAAGAGACCGACGACACUAGACACAAAUCAACUACCACGAAAACACGGAAUAAACUGCGUCGUGCGUGGAUGAAUGUGUCCAUGGUGCCGUGUGUUUGGGUAUCUGACAACGCAGCCCGAUGUGUGGGGCUGCUAACGGUCUUACGAGCAAAUACUAACGUCGAUGCGAACGCCUACCAAGUCUGUUACCGCUGUCAACACUGACUAAUGCUUUGUUCAGUUCGUGGUACCCUGUCACGGAAAGAGCGUGUUUGAAUUUCAUCUGGUAACGAAGGAACCGGCUUUAAAUGAAUUGUUUCUUUGUGAAAAUUGCUUUUUUCUGUCAAGAGGCUCUCUGGGAUGGUGAGCCGAGGAACUCUCAACCUGCCUAAAUGAACAAGAGUCCGUUUCUGCCCACGUGGAAGUGCCAUUCUCUUUGAUGGGUGAUGCGCGAAUCCCUCGUGCACAUAAAUGUAAACGAGCUCAGGCGAGUGGCAUGAUUGAAAAGUUCGCACCGCGGGGAAAACAAAUAUGCUCGUCCAGCUUGGAAGACCAUGUUGCAUGGGGAGCGACGUUGGUCUUCGACGGUAGCUGCCUCGAGAAUAAGUAGCGGAGUCGUGUAACUACGGCAUACAACAGACCAUUUUGCUUUGGACUCGUUCACGCGUGGAAAAAAGUAGCAGAAAUGGAAGCAUGCAUGUGAUUUCUCUUCUGUGGAGGCUUCGCUUUAUGUCAACGUGAACUGAGUUCUACAGAGACGGCGUUUCUGGGCAGCCGCUUCAUGAAGGAGAUCAAGUUCCUGAGGUUUCUUCAAGGUGCCCUUGGGCAAGAACUUCGCCAGUUCAGCAUGCUCCCGCAGGAGCCGCAGGCGCUCUUGCUCGACAACCGUUUGUUUCUCUUCUUCAACUGCAGCCAACCGUUCCCAAGUCUGCUUUUCCGCUUCUCUCUCUGCUUCAAAUAGUUGUCGUCGUUGGAUGAUCAACCGUUCUACCUGAGCGUGAAAAAGGAACGAGUCCAUUUUUUUCCGUUUUCCGUCACCCCAGAGGAUACCGCUCCGAUAACAAAAGGCAAAAAGGCAGCCUGAUGACCUAUCGGUUGAACGGAUGGAACCAGUCUUUUUUUGUGAGAAACAAUAACGAGCUAGGCUCAGUCCCUGAGGUGAUUGAACAGGCUGACAAGCGUGUGGCAUCAGCGGGUAUUUUGAUGCGGAACGUCCCUGGGGUAACAAGAUCUUUGCACGUGGAGCGAACCAGCCAAGUACUGUUUUGCAGCAGCCCCUCCCUAGAAAUCCUUACUUGACGCAUGUGCUCUUGAAUCCUCAAGCGCUUCUUCUGCUC
RNAcentral lists this long non-coding RNA (2989 nucleotides) under Toxoplasma gondii VEG. Lineage: Eukaryota; Apicomplexa; Conoidasida; Eucoccidiorida; Sarcocystidae. The record is from RNAcentral.